This 737-nucleotide ribosomal RNA is filed under the name Peptostreptococcus anaerobius. RNAcentral describes it as "bacterial SSU rRNA". It matches the Rfam family "Bacterial small subunit ribosomal RNA", at positions 28 to 776 of the family's 1533-position model. Lineage: Bacteria; Bacillati; Bacillota; Clostridia; Peptostreptococcales; Peptostreptococcaceae. The record is from RNAcentral.
GAUGAACGCUGGCGGCGUGCCUAACACAUGCAAGUCGAGCGCGUCUGAUUUGAUGCUUGCAUUGAUGAAAGAUGAGCGGCGGACGGGUGAGUAACGCGUGGGUAACCUGCCCUAUACACAUGGAUAACAUACUGAAAAGUUUACUAAUACAUGAUAAUAUAUAUUUACGGCAUCGUAGAUAUAUCAAAGUGUUAGCGGUAUAGGAUGGACCCGCGUCUGAUUAGCUAGUUGGUGAGAUAACUGCCCACCAAGGCGACGAUCAGUAGCCGACCUGAGAGGGUGAUCGGCCACAUUGGAACUGAGACACGGUCCAAACUCCUACGGGAGGCAGUAGUGGGGAAUAUUGCACAAUGGGCGCAAGCCUGAUGCAGCAACGCCGCGUGAACGAUGAAGGUCUUCGGAUCGUAAAGUUCUGUUGCAGGGGAAGAUAAUGACGGUACCCUGUGAGGAAGCCCCGGCUAACUACGUGCCAGCAGCCGCGGUAAUACGUAGGAGGCUAGCGUUAUCCGGAUUUACUGGGCGUAAAGGGUGCGUAGGUGGUCUUUCAAGUCGGUGGUUAAAGGCUACGGCUCAACCGUAGUUAGCCUCCGAAACUGGAAGACUUGAGUGCAGGAGAGGAAAGUGGAAUUCCCAGUGUAGCGGUGAAAUGCGUAGAUAUUGGGAGGAACACCAGUAGCGAAGGCGGCUUUCUGGACUGCAACUGACACUGAGGCACGAAAGCGUGGGUAGCAAACAGG